UUGCUUUGGCAACAUACAUAUAUACUAAAAUUGGAACAACAUAAAGAAGAUUAGCAUUGCCCUUGAAUAAGGAUUAUAUACAAAUUAAUGAAGAAUUUCAUAUUUUC
Small nuclear RNA from Grammomys surdaster, 107 nucleotides. Lineage: Eukaryota; Metazoa; Chordata; Mammalia; Rodentia; Muridae. The record is from RefSeq and is a predicted model, not a curated record.